RNAcentral lists this ribosomal RNA (303 nucleotides) under uncultured bacterium. RNAcentral describes it as "partial 16S ribosomal RNA". It matches the Rfam family "Bacterial small subunit ribosomal RNA", at positions 507 to 807 of the family's 1533-position model. The record is from RNAcentral.
AGCAGUCGCCGCGGGAAUACGUAGGUGGCAAGCGUUGUCCGGAAUUAUUGGGCGUAAAGGGCUCGCAGGCGGUUUCUUAAGUCUGAUGUGAAAGCCUCCGGCUCAACCGGGGAGGGUCAUUGGAAACUGGGAAACUUGAGUGCAGAAGAGGAGAGUGGAAUUCCACGUGUAGCGGUGAAAUGCGUAGAGAUGUGGAGGAACACCAGUGGCGAAGGCGACUCUCUGGUCUGUAACUGACGCUGAGGAGCGAAAGCGUGGGGAGCAAAUGGGAUUAGAUACCCCUGUAGUCCCUGUCUCUUAUAC